UACAAGGGAUGGUAGUGCUACUACGACUAGUCGAGUUAACAAGAUCACUAGUGUUUGGGCUUAGCAGAGAAGCCGACAAAACAGAGGUACAGUUACUGAUAGAGCAUAUUACAGAAUGGCUCCCAAAACAAAGGCUCCCAAAACAAAGUAGUUUAUUACCGGUGGACCAAGAGACUAGUUUACGAUAUAGCAUUCCUUCACAAUCUUGUUGCAGCUGAGAUUGAGCAACAUUGGGAGGAGUUACCAAAAGACGACAAGAGGAAGUUCUAGAUAGCUGAGAUCCUAAUUUAGAUAAUCCAUCUACCACGCCAUUUGCUUGUCGGAUGUCGUACCACUAGAUUCACUAAGCUCCUCAACAUUGACCUACAAGACAUUAUGAUGUUAGAACAUGGAGAGUCGGGUUGUUGUAGCAAGGUAAUGGCUUCCACAGAAUCCAUUUCAAUUUCUAGAGGACCAAAUUUAUGGUAUUUUACUGAUAACAAACCUUAAUGGAGGGCCUCUAAUUCUACCAUAACAGGACAGUGAGAAUUACAAUAAUUAUAAUAACCAACAUUAGUGUCCCAGAUUACUCUACCAAUGUUGUGGCGGUCAGAAUCAUGUGACAAAGCACCAUGAACGUUCAGUUUCAAACAACCAGUAGGAAGAGAAAACCAUUUGAUAUUAAUGUUGACACUAUUUAGAUGGUUACUGAGGUAAGAGUAUGGGAGAUGUAUUCAAUAGUGUUGCAGUGCACAUGGGUAUAUCUAGGAAAAUUUCGUUUAUUUUAAAAAACAUUAUGAUUUCUAUUUAACCAAAGAUUCUUGAGAGUGAAAAGGACGAUGUCUAGCCAAGCUGGGGAAUCCUCAUGGAAUAGUGGGUUGAGAGAUUUCAAAUUUAUCAACCAGUGAGUAUGAGGCAUAUUGAUGAGAGAAAUAUUGAUACCCAUAUCUAGCCAGAAUUUCUUGUCUAUAUAACAAUGCAUAAAGACAUGAUCAGCCAUCUCCGGUACUAAAUUUCAAAUGACGCAAAGGGGAGAAUGAGUUAAGCUGAUGCAAUGCAGAUAAGUAUGAGUGGGAAUUUUCCCGGUUGAGCAGAACCAAAGAAAAAGUUUAAUCUUAUUCAAAGUAUGAAGUUUUCAGAUCUAAGAGAAUUCAUACGUGGAAGUGGCCGGAGUAAUAAGAGAGUCAUACACUGAUUUCGUAGUGAACAAACCAUUAGAAAUGUAUGCCCAGUAAGGAGUUUCCCUACUACCAAUGGAGUUGUUUGAAUGAAUACUGACUUCUUUGAGUAUAAAGUUAGGAGGGAGGGAGAAGGAGAGUUUACUCUAAUCCCAUCAGUGUCCAUCCCAAAGAUUGGAUAAGCAGAGUUUAUCUUCUUCUUCGUGGAAGGGGCCAUAGAGAAUAUGAUGAAGGGGUGGGGUAUCAGGGAUCCAAUGAUAGUUCCAAAUAUUGAUAGAUUCUCCCGUGGACAGAUCCCAAGAGGUGGCCCUAUUACAAAUGGAUCCUCCCAAAAGGAUAUUUUUCCAGAUAAAGGAGCAUGAAGGAACCGUAUAACUGUUAUUAUACUUAGAGAUGAGGGUACGACCACGAAAAGAGGAG
Molecule: long non-coding RNA, 1577 nt
Filed under: Capsicum annuum
Lineage: Eukaryota; Viridiplantae; Streptophyta; Magnoliopsida; Solanales; Solanaceae
Description: long non-coding RNA (CANN_LNC000303)
Source: RNAcentral